CUCAAGGCCAAUCUAUAAAACACAGAACAUCCACUCCGGUCCAAUAGAGGGAGCUCCGGCACCUGGGAAAGCACAACGGGGAUAUUUAAACUGCUGUGGUAAAACAAUGACUUUAAACGCGAGUCUACAGAUAUUUUUCAGAUGUAUACAGUUCGAUAAUAAACCAACUGAAAAAACGAAAUGCUGUUAGAGCUUCAAUUACAUUUUUUUUCGUGUAAAAGAUAAGUGUUUAUAAA
Long non-coding RNA from Gadus macrocephalus (Pacific cod), 236 nucleotides. RefSeq lists it as uncharacterized. The transcript has 2 exons. The record is from RefSeq and is a predicted model, not a curated record. Lineage: Eukaryota; Metazoa; Chordata; Actinopteri; Gadiformes; Gadidae.